Long non-coding RNA from Cavia porcellus (domestic guinea pig), 3862 nucleotides. RefSeq lists it as uncharacterized. Lineage: Eukaryota; Metazoa; Chordata; Mammalia; Rodentia; Caviidae. The record is from RefSeq and is a predicted model, not a curated record. The transcript is spliced from 3 exons.
AAAAACCCUCUGAAGCUGCAUGGAAAUGUUCCCACUCCUCCUCUGUUACCUGCCGGGGCAGGACUUGUCCUUACCAUGGGGACAUGGAGCCUGGCUUCCUUGGGGAAGUUCGAGAGACCCAGGAGCCCCCCAGCAAACUCAGAUCCAGUGACAGAAUUCACAGGAGAGCUGACAUGUUCCUAACGGACUCCCAGGAUCCACUGGUGCAGUAAGUGAACACCCCCCUCGGCCCUGUGUGUCGGCUCUGAUGUACUACACACCUCACAGACGUGGAGCGGUAGGACCAAGAGGACAUGGACUGAGCCUUCUGCAACUGUGAGCCAGAGUAUGCCUGAAAGGUGGCCACGCAGGGUGUGAGCCCUGUGACGUAUACUCACUAGAACUUCCCGUUACCCUUUUGGCAGUCAUAGGAGGUGUCACAGGACACCUUUCGGUUGGCAGAGGUAAAGCAGGAAGGGCACAGCUGAUAUUAGCCGUUGUGUUUAUGGGUCCUCAGGCAAAUCUUGAGGAUGCAUGAACGCAUGGGAGUCUCCUGCCUUACAGGCAUCCCCGAGGCUGGUGUGUGGGCGUAGGAAGCCUUGAGCGACUCUGUGGACGCUGUAAACGCCUGGCGUUGGGUUUCCAGCAGGAAAACAGGCAGCCCGGCCCUGGAGUGAAUGCCAAGACAGGUAGACAGAGCGUUUGGCUUUGUAAUUCACAGCUAUUAAACUUCUCAGAGACGCGGCGGGAACUUUUCUUGGGGUAAGAAAGUCUGACAAAAGAUGAAGAGAACUUAAUGUCACUUUGAGACCUGGGCUUGGGUGCAGUCUCUUAACGCUAAGUGAUGAACGCCUGGCCUCCAGAGUUCACACCUAUCAACCCUGCAGCUCCUCGGAUCCACCAGGCCCCAGGGAUGCCAGGGUGGGAAAAUAAACCCAGGCAAACUGUGAGGCUUCCUUGGCUCCAGGCCCAAUGAAUAAUUUCAUUUUAAGAGACAUAAGGGAAAUAUUUUUAAAAUGCAAAAUAUAUUCUUUGGUUUUUGGCAAUCCAAUCACUCAGUUAGUGUAAAAACAUAAAUUCAAAUAUCAAAUUGUGUUUCGGAAAAAAAAAUCAUGGCAGUUUCUCUAGAGACAUUAACACAAUGGAUCGGAUACGUUAUAGAAUUAAAGUGACUGAGCCUGGGGGUGUCCAGGGCCACCCGUGUCCAGGCAGCUAUGUACUCUCAGCCUUGUGCUUUUUUGUCUAAGUGGUGUCUGUCCAGGCAGGAGACAGAGGCCUGACAACUGUAGUGGACCUCAGUGCAUCAGUCCCCGCCCACCCUGGGGCCGGCCCCAGCCACACAGGAUGCUGUCUUUCUCUGAAUUUAUUUGGAAAACAGCCAUGCUCUGACUUAGAUAUAUUUUGGAUUCACAUUUCCUUUCUCAGAGAAAUCUCAGCUCAGCUCGAUACACUAACUGUGAGAGAUGCCACCGGGACACGUAAUUCAGAUGUUUCGAUUCUUACCUGAAGUUUCUGGGUGAACAAAAGGAUUCCGAAUGUGCUCUUGAUCUUCAUUUAAAUAGAACCACUCGGCAAGAUAUGUCAUGAGCAGUACUCGGAUGCCCGUGGAGAUGCCACACUCCUGACAGCAGGAAGCUCCUGGAAGGCUUAGACGUGACGCUUUGGAGCCCUGAAGUAAGAGGACAGAAGAAGGCUCGUCCACUUCACAUCUGAACAGCCGGGCUGGGAAUCUGUUCAGUGGGUGACGUUCUAACGUCCGAUCCUCAAGGCUGCGCCCUCAGAGUGACCCACGUCACGCUCGGGCUUUUUGUGUCUUUCCAGGAACAUGGCCACACGCGGAGAUGGUGUCCACUCUGGGAGCGGGCCUGUGGCCAGGCUACUUCUCUUCCUCCUGUAGCUCUGUCCUUUGCCUCCAGGGCAUGCGCGCCCAGGACAGGAAGAAAGAGGCCUGUGAGCCCCGGAGUGUGUGUGGGCUGGAUGCUGGGUCCUGCAUGAUGGGAAGUCGGGGUAACAGGCCCAGAGGAGGGUUCAGGAGCAGGGACAGCUGAGGUGUCUCUGAAGUUCAGGACUGAGGCUGCUUCUGAUUAUCCUGAGAGAGCAGUAGAUGACCAUUGUCACAGAGAAAGAAGCCACAGUGAGUGUGGGCCUGCGGCUCCUGACCUCAGAGACUCUUUCCUUCCCUAUCCUCCACCGAGAUGGGGAGCAGCUGGGACCCCAACUCAGUGCAGAUCCUUAUAAGACUCCAACAAGUGGGAAAGAAACCAGAGGGGACAAUGUGUGGUUGUCAUCUACUGUGGUCCUCUGUGGGAAACAGCACCCCCAAAACUGCUGAGCAAAUUCUGAACAUAGACACCCUAGAUGAGGGCAUCUUUGAGGAAGAAGGGAGCCCUGACAUCCAGCCAGGGACCCCUCCCCAGGAGCCAGGGUUGUGUAGGGUGUGUCCCCAGGGAUGGAGCCCUGCAGGGACGCUGUGUGAACAUCUCUGUCCUGGUCCCUUCGCCUCUCCAGGGGCUGGAGGCAGAGGCAGGAUUAUGGCGUUGAAGAGCACAAAGCUUUAUGAUCACAUCGCUUCAGAGAGAGCCAAUUCUAGCUUCUCUUUGCACUCAUGAGGAAAAAUACGGCUGUUUCAGUCCACCCCCCUUAACGUCAAAUAUUAUCUUGCUAAAUUGCCAAUCUGAAAGAUGAAAAACGUUCCGUAAUUGUUCCCAUUUGCAUUUGAAAAUGACUUGUGCGGCUGAGUGUUUCUCCAGCUUUGGCGCUCAGGUGACUUAAGUGCCCUUGUUUGUCUCCCUGUGUUCUCCUCAAAUUCUCAGGACACUAAGGCCUCCCCGCAUUCCCUGCUAAAACUUUUCUCAGUGUGCUCUCUGACUUCAAAUGACAGAAGAAAAACGAAAACAUGACUUUAUGACAAUAAAUAACAGUGAGCUAAGGUUUCCUGUUAAGCGAUAGAGACUGAUAGAUUAGCGUAGAGUGUGGAAAUCAUUUACAGGAAGUACACAGAAAUAAAAUGGCAAUUUGCUGAUCUGUAUCAUAAAGGAAAACUCUGCUCUGCGUGGCAUGAAGCCUGCUACCCAUUUGGGGAAGCAGUUCAGAUCAGACUUCCCUCCCCCAGCUCUCCCACAUCCCAGCAAGGGUGGACGGUGCCGCGUGCGUGACAUGUUUUAUGAAAUAUUCAAAAUACCUGCCUGAAAUCUGUCUUCUGGCCUCACAGUGUGUGCUGUUCACUACCAAACUGACCAGCAGUGGACUCUAAAUCUAUCGUCACAUACGGCGACCCUGGGAGUAGCUUUCAUUGCCCCUAAGUUGCAAGUGAGGACACAGGCUCUGGGCGUCCCUGGUUUCCUGAGAGGUAUAACCAGAGGGGAGGAGCCCCAGUGAGACCAACACUAAUGCUGCCUUUGCUGGAAGUGCCGUGCAGGAGACAGGAGACGCGGGGGCCUCAGGAGCCUGGUGGUGAGCAGAGCCGGGGAGCUGGGGAGGACCGAUGGCCCUGCCAAUGUAAAACAAAUUCCAAUUCAAGGCAACAAUCGUCGGGUGGAUAACAAGGGACAUCAGCUGAUAAAAAGGAUGUGGCUCAGGGAAGGCAUCUCAGUCCUGAGCAUUUGGUGCUAAAUACCAGCUUCUAAAUAGACCAAUAAAACACUUUUAGAAAUAGACAUAUAAGUGAGUGGAAGCCCAUUCAUGGGAGAUUAUGCGUCUCAUAGGCUUUGAUGGAAUAGACAAUGCAUAAAUUAAGGGUCUAAUGAAUUUGAAUAGUCUAACUAACAAUGUUGCAUCCACACAUUUUUAUCCAGUAUCGGAUCAUCCAAAAUUAUUAAUUCAUCUUCCCAAGCCACUAUGGAACAUUUGUAAAAUAGUGAUUAUAUGUGAUGCCUUUAAAUAA